This is a small nucleolar RNA of Cuculus canorus (common cuckoo), 153 nucleotides long. It matches the Rfam family "Small nucleolar RNA SNORD97". The record is from Rfam. NCBI's taxonomy places the organism in Eukaryota, Metazoa, Chordata, Aves, Cuculiformes, Cuculidae.
UUGCCCAAUGAUUAUAGCAAGACGCGUUAUUAUGAGGACUAAUGCUGGAACCUCUUCCUCCUUCUCCUUCUUUGUCCCUUCCUCUUUACCUUACCUCUCACUUCCCUUAAGGGUAUCCAGCGUCCUAUGAGCAAAAAUGAGAUAUGAGGGCAA